This 441-nucleotide ribosomal RNA is filed under the name Blastocystis sp. subtype 3. RNAcentral's name for it is "bacterial SSU rRNA". It matches the Rfam family "Eukaryotic small subunit ribosomal RNA", at positions 505 to 951 of the family's 1831-position model. The record is from RNAcentral. Lineage: Eukaryota; Bigyra; Opalinata; Blastocystidae.
UGCAUUGGAUUGAGAACAACGUACAAACCUUAUCGAUAAACAAUUGGAGGGCAAGUCUGGUGCCAGCAGCCGCGGUAAUUCCAGCUCCAAUAGCGUAUAUUAACGUUGUUGCAGUUAAAAAGCUCGUAGUUGAAAUGAAGGGUAGUUGUGUAAUGAAUACAUUCGUGUAUUUUGUUAUUCUACUACCCUCCUUCUAAAUUCGAUAUAUGAGUAUUAAUUUACUUGUAUAUGGUUUUAGACGUUUACUGUGAGAAAAUUAGAGUGUUCAAAGCAGGCAUUUGCUUGAAUAUAUUAGCAUGGAAUAAUCAUGUAUGAUUUUCAUGAUGUAUUUGAUUGGUUUGGUUCAUGAGAAUAAGAUUAAAAGGGACAGUUGGGGGUAUUCAUAUUCAAUAGUCAGAGGUGAAAUUCUCGGAUUUAUGGAAGAUGAACAAGUGCCGAAAG